This 207-nucleotide ribosomal RNA is filed under the name uncultured bacterium. Its description in RNAcentral is "partial 16S ribosomal RNA". It matches the Rfam family "Bacterial small subunit ribosomal RNA", at positions 568 to 774 of the family's 1533-position model. The record is from RNAcentral.
UGCGCAGGCGGACCUAUCAGCCAGUGGUGAAAUCCCGGGGCUCAACUCCGGAACUGCCAUUGAUACUGUAGGUCUUGAGUUUGGUCGAAGUGGGCGGAAUGUAGCAUGUAGCGGUGAAAUGCAUAGAUAUGCUACAGAACACCGAUCGCGAAGGCAGCUCACUAAACCAAAACUGACGCUCAGGCACGAAAGCGUGGGUAGCGAACA